RNAcentral lists this long non-coding RNA (403 nucleotides) under Mytilus galloprovincialis (Mediterranean mussel). Lineage: Eukaryota; Metazoa; Mollusca; Bivalvia; Mytilida; Mytilidae. The record is from RNAcentral.
CGUCAUCAAGAUUUACCGUUCCAUAACAUGUUGGUGAAGGUCAUCUGACUACAACAAAGAUGCAUAAAACUCUGCCCAGAAAUGUUAUUAUUGCUUGAAAUAUUAAAGAUAAUGCAAUUUCCGCCAUUUUAUUAAGGUCAAAAACAUUCUACCCUUCCCUGGAUGAUUACCAGUCCUACAUCCUCUUUGGCCAAUAAAAAUAUGUAACCGCAUGCUUCCCCAUUUUGUGUUUUUGAAAUCACAUGACUGUCAUGUGAUAUGGUUUUACAUUUAAGCGGGAAUCACAGUAGAACAAAUGAUCGUCGCUUAUAUGAUUUUCUAUGGUUUAUCGAUUUUUUUUCAUUUAAUAUAUGAGGUAAACAUUGAUAAAUGUAUUGUUGUCAUUAGUGUUUUAUGAAUGCAA